AACCCAUGAUAAGGACACCGUCUUAAUAAGUUCUUAUGCUUCUCCCAUGCAUCAUAUAAAGUCUCUAAUUCAAUCUAAACAAAGGAGGAGAUGUCAUUCCUCAACUU
This is a non-coding RNA of Gossypium hirsutum (cotton), 107 nucleotides long. The record is from Rfam. Lineage: Eukaryota; Viridiplantae; Streptophyta; Magnoliopsida; Malvales; Malvaceae.